Long non-coding RNA from Cyprinus carpio (common carp), 1830 nucleotides. RefSeq lists it as uncharacterized. The record is from RefSeq and is a predicted model, not a curated record. The transcript has 2 exons. NCBI's taxonomy places the organism in Eukaryota, Metazoa, Chordata, Actinopteri, Cypriniformes, Cyprinidae.
UAGGUAUGUUUGUUUGUUUGUUUGUUUGUUUGUUUUUUUGGGGGGGGGGUUAAAAAAAAAGUAUGAGUAGCUUUCAAAAAAAGUAUCUUCCACUUUUAUAACAGAGAGAAUUUAUUUGUGUAAAAGUAUUGUUACAUGUAUGCCUUGUUGUCUGUUCUCUCCAUUGUGACCUAGUUUUCCUGAGUUGCCUGAUUAUGUCAUUCUGUUCACCUGUUGUCUGUUAAUCAUCUCAUUAGUUCCCUUUGUUUGGUUCAUGCUUAUAAGUCCUCAGUUCCCACUUAGUCUUCGUCCGUUCUCCGUCUAUGUUAAGUUUGUUUCUGUGUCUGUUUUCCUGGAUUUAUCUGAUUAAAAGACUUUUCAUUUAUCUCCUUCAUCCUCGUGCAGUUUGUAUCACCAACGUGUGACAGAAGACUGGACAAUCUACAGUUUUUUGUUGUUGUUUUUUUUUCUGGUGUUUUGUUCCCUUUUUCCAUGUUCUUCUGUCACUAUGGACAUUCCUCCUUUGGCCCUGCUAUGCCUGGAGCAGGGUGACCGUCCGCUGGAAGACCACACACAGGACUUUUUAAAUCUCGUGUGCCUGACUCAUUACCCUGAUCGUUCGCUCUGUUUUUUAUCACGCCAGCCUGAGUGAGCGAUCAAAAGCACACGUUCCAGCGGAUGGUCCCAGGGACAAUUUCGCCACGUUUGUAGAGUGAGUUCUGGAGAAUAAUGGACUGUAUUUCUCCAUCUGCCCCACUGAUGAGGACAUCUCCAGUCCCACUCCCAAACAGAAGACCAGCCAGGCAUCAUCCUGAUGCACGGAGGUAUUGCCUGAGCCCACAGCAGACAGAGAGCCUGAGCCUGCCGCGACAUGUGAGCCAGCACAGAAACCCGUGACUGAGCAGAUCAUCACCCCGGAGGGAAUGCUUGAGGGAAUGCUCGAGGAGAUCAAGGGCUUGGAGGGAAGCCCCACCCACAUUCCCGCUGCUGAGGCCUCUCUCUCCCGCCUCUUCUCCUAAAACCAGCCAGUUCCUCAGUCAUAUCUCUGCUGGUGCCUGUCAGUCCCUCAGCUCCCCCUCAGUCAGUGCCAUCUGGGCGCUCUGAUCCGCCUCGGGACAUCCAGUCUCCAGCCCCGCCUAGACUCCACCCUGGUCCUUCGACCCAUUCGGCUCCACCUUGGCUCCUAGCUCCCUUGUCUCCACCAUUGCCCAUCAUCCCACUGGCUCCACCGGGCUCCCUGGUCCCUCCGACUCCACCAUGCUCAGUUGUCGACCAUCCGCAGCCUUAGGACUUCACUCCUCCGGCUUCGCCUUGUCACUCUGUCCCUCUGGAUCUGUCUGGCUCCUCCGGCUCCACCUUCAUCCUCAGUCACUCCAUCUCCACCGCGGUCUUCCAGAUCCCCGCCUCCACCUUGGUCGCCUUAGCCAUCAGCUCCACCUUGACCCUCCGGAUCCUCUGUGUCACCCUGUCUCUCUGUCUGCUCGGCUCCAUCUGGGUCUCCACCUCCGGUGGUUCCAUCUCCACCGUUCUUCCCCAGGGUAACAUCAAGGCCUUCUCCACCAUGGCUCCUCCCUCCUUUGACUCCACCCUGGGGCUUCGUCCUGGCUGGUCUCUGGACCAACAUCUGGCUCCUCUCAAGGCUCCAUGCCUUGUUUUCUGUUCUCUCCGUCAUGACCUAGUUUUCCUGAGUUGCCUGAUUAUGUAAUUCUGUUCACCUGUUAAUCAUCUCAUUAGUUCCCUUUGUUUUGUUCAUGCCUUAGUCUUCAUCCAUUCUCCAUCUAUGUUAAGUUGGUUUCUGUGCCUGUUCUCCUGGAUUUAUCUGAUUAAAAGACUUUACGUUUGUCUCCUUCA